Long non-coding RNA from Anolis carolinensis (green anole), 10023 nucleotides. RefSeq lists it as uncharacterized. Lineage: Eukaryota; Metazoa; Chordata; Lepidosauria; Squamata; Anolidae. The transcript has 2 exons. The record is from RefSeq and is a predicted model, not a curated record.
GAAAUGAGUCAAAAACUAUGUAUCCACAUACAUAUAACAAAGUUUACAAUAACCACAUUAUAAUAAUCUAUAUAUAUAUAAAGGUUUUGUCCACUUGUAGGACCGAGUUAACAACAAAACCACUGGACCGAAUGCCCCCAAAUUUGGUCACAAUACACCAACACAUCCAAGGUAUGUCCUUCACUCAAUCCCCCCCAACCAAAAAAACCCCCACUGGAUUGGCCUAUAUCUAUUUUUCACUCCCCCCCUUUUGGCCUGAAUGGUAUGCUCUCCUCUUUUCCCUUUACUCUUCGCACUUGCCCUGAGGGGAAGGACUGUGUUUACAGCUGACAUGGGAGCCCAGAGUGUGGAGAAGAGCAGGAAGAGAGAGAGAGAGCCAGCUAACAAGGCUGUUCUUCUUAAAGGGGCUUCCCUCCCUCCUCUCACACACAGGAACACAUAGACCUCCAAUGAGAAAGGGGGGGGGGGGGGAGAGGGAGGAUUAGAAAGAGCUGUUCUUCCCCUGACUGUCAGUCAGAAUGGUAGGCCCCACCCCCUUUAGGUCCCACCCCCUUGUCUCAUAGCAAGCUCCUCAGUCACAAUGGCACCAGAGGACAAAGUUCACUUAGGCCUCUUCCACACUGCCUAUAAAAUACAGAUGAUCUGAUUUGAACUUAUAUAGCAGUGUAAACUUAAAGCCUUUCCACACAGCUAUAUAGCCCAGAAUGCUAAGGCAAAUAAUCUACAAUAUCUGCUUUAAACUGGAUUAUCUUGAGUCCACACUGCCAUACAAUCCAGUUCAGUGUGGAUUUUAUACAGCUGUGUAGAAGGGGUCUCAUAUAAUAUAAGAUUAUAAAUAUAAUAUGUAACACAGAACAAUGUAAUCUCUAAAACCAGGACAGUAAAUAAAGAACAACAUUCUGAAAACAGGGGAAUUCCGGAGAGGAAACAAUCAGGGCCAGCUAACACCUCCCAUUAAAGGAUUCCCCCAGGCAGGAAGCAGCCAGGCUAUGAAGCAUUCAAUCUUGCCUUUAACAGACAAAGAGUUCUUUCUCCCACGCUGGACAUUAUUCCACAGGUAUAUAAGCCACACUUGCCUGGCUGCUUCCUACCUAGGGAAAUCCAUUGAAAAUGAACAAAGCCUGGCUCCCAGCAGUAAAAAAAACCCUCUAAAACCAGGGCAGUAAAUAAAGAACAAUACUCUGAAAACAAAAAAACGCAACUGGGGGAGUUUGAAAUGAGUGACUCACCAUAGUGGGAUUUCAAGUUUACCCUACAACCAUAGACCACACUGAACCCCAGCAGUGCUGCAUCUAGAUCAAACUUCUCAAUAUAAUAGACUAAGUACGGAUGGAGUUUGUAGGUGUUAACCAGGCGUGAUGUGAAUUGCAGUUCACACACAACCUUAUGCAUACUGUACAUAUAUACAAGCAUAUAACAUAUUAAAUACCGCCACUGCCUCAUUACUUCCCCCCCCCCCCCAAAUCAGCGGACUACACCACAGCUACGCGUGGCCAGGAACAGCUAGUUCUAUUAUAAUCUACAUACAUAACACAAGGUUUACAAUAAUUGCAUUGUAAUACCUGUCUGAUUGGCAAAUAUAUAACAAUAUCAGAAUCAAUCCAAAAGAUAGAUGGUGUGGAUACUGAUAGUUUGCUGAUGUCUGUUAUUCUUGCUUCCUAGCUUUUAAAAAUACAUGAAAAUGAUGGUUUAAGCAACGAGUAGUAGUUACCAAAACACAGUAUGACCCCUGUAUCCAUGGGAGUACAUUCCUGUAUCCACAGGGAUACAUUCCCAGACCCUGCAUGGAUAUGUGAAACCACAGAUAAAGAGGAGCCAUAGUGAAAUGAAGACUUUGUGUCCCAAGAAUACCAAAGAGUCAUGCUGAAAGACCUAGAAAAUGCCUAGUAGGGACAUAGUUUGUUAGAAGUGAACAAAUGAAGCUGCAGAUACUGGUCCUGAGGAUACAGGGAGUGUAGUGUCGGCUGGUAAGCUGUCAGUUAACCGGCACCUUUGGGGAUUAGUUGCUGCUAGAUAAAUGUAAUUUCUGCCUGUUGAGGGAUAAUAUUAAAAAACAGGUCUAUAACUACAUCCUGUACUACACCACACCAUGAACCUAAUUUGAAAUACUGAAAUGCAGUAAUUAAAUGCAAAUUCAACACACUUAACACAGGGCAGUUUUAUUGUACAGGCAGUUCCCAAAUUACAAAUAAGAUGGGUUCUAUGGGUUUGCUCUCAAGUUAAAUUUGUAUGCAAAUCAGAACAGAUAUUUUUAAGUCUAACUUGAGCCAUACAUACAUACAUACAUACAUACAUACACACACACACACACACACACACACACACACACGAUAGCAUAGGGAAGGGUUAACACCCCUGUGGUAUUUGUUUUGCUGUCUGUGCCCUGUUCAGAAGUGUUCAGGUUUCUGUACCUGUGAGAAUUGGAUUUUGAAAAACAAGGAUUGGUGAGAAAGCUUCAGUGGAGACACCUCCCCCCCCAAUAAUGUCUUUCAGGAGUGAAUUUCUCUUCUGAGGGGCAGAUUUCUCUCACUUCCUGUUGUUUACCACUGUUCUUAACUAGAAGUUGUUUGCAAGUCAGAUGUUUGUAACUCGGGGAAUGCCUGUGUAAGGCUAACUUUUAAAUUCACAUUCUGUUUACUGUGUUUUAAUUUUUUGUUCCAUAUAUUUUAAUAUGUGUAUUUUAUAGAAAUAUGUUUUUAAGGAGUGAAUUUCCCUUCCGUGGGGUAGAUUUCUCUCACUUCUUGUUGUCUUACUCUUAUUCUUAACUAGGAGCUGCUUGUAAGUCGGAUGUUUGUAUAUAGGGACUGCCUGUAUUAUAAAAACAGAUUUUACUAUCUGAUAAAAACUGAUUUCAAUUUUUAUUACUAAAAUUUGAUUUAUCUAAAGUAUUGUGUAUCUUCAACAUUUAGCACAGUGGUUCUCAACCUGUGGGUCCCCAGGUGUUUUGGCCUACAACUCCCAGAAAUCCCAGUUUACCAGCUGUUAGGAUUUCUGGAAAUUGAAGGCCAAAAACAUCUGGGGACUCCAGGUUGAGAACCACUGAUUGAGCGGAAUACUUGAGAAUUCUGGCAGCUUGAGUUCUGGUUAACUGAAGCCUCUUCCACACAGCUGUAUAAAAUUCACUGGAUUAUAUUGUAGUUUGGACUCAGAUAACAUAGGCCCCUUCUACAUAGCUGAUUAAAAUCCCAAAUUUUGUUUUGAACUGGAAUAUAUGGCAGUGUGGAUUCAGAUAUCCCAUUUCAAAGCAAAUAUUGUGGAUUAUCUGUCAUGGUAUUCUAGGUCAUGUGGCUGUGUCGAAGGCCGUGAGGCCCCUUCUACACAACCAUAUAAAACCCAGCUAAUCUGCUUUGAACUAGAUUAUAUGGCACUGUAGACUCAUAUGAUCCAGUUUAAAAUAGAUAAUGUGAAUUAUGUGCUUGAAUCAUCUUGUAUGGCAGUGUAGAAGGGGCCUGAGAGUCUACUGUUGUUACUCAGCCAUUCGCUCCAGGAGUAUACUAUUGAAGUGGCCCUAGACUUAGUGCUGACCCUGGAGGCCCAGGUGUCGAUGGUGGACGGGAGGGCCUUUGCACAGUCAAAGCUUGUGUGCCAGCUGCACCUGUACCUUGAGAAACCCGAUCCAGCUAUGAGCGGUACAUGCCUUGGUUACAUCCUGUUUAGACUACUGCAACGCGCUCUAUGUGGGGCUGCCUCAGAAGAGUGUUCGGAAGCUCCAGCUGGCUCAAGGUCAGCAGCCAUAUUGCUUACAGGGGCUGGUUACAAAGUACACCUUGUAAAUGAAAUGAGUAGGCCAAUCAGGGAAAUCUGCUGAAUGGUUUGGGUUGAAAACUUAGUUGCCUCUUCUUAUCCACAGAAAAUACAUAUCCCCCGCUUCUAGGUGCCACAUGGAAGGGCUCCGCUCAGGGGGAGGGAGGAGGAAGAGAAGUAGCAACAAGCAGCUUGUUGUCGUGCCUUUCGUGGGUCAGUUUUUUAAGCAUGUGGACAAUUUCAAUAGAAAGGAGGAAACCAUGAAAAUGUACAAAAUCUGGCUACAAGUAUUUAAAAAACUCUAAAAUCAGGACAGUAAAUAAAGAACAAUACUCUGAAAACAGGGGAAACAAUCAGGGCCAGCUAACACCACCCAACAAAGGAUUCCACUAGUCAAGAAUCAGCCAGGUCUUGAAGCUGCAAGGCUUUUCAAUGCUAAUCAAGGUCAUUAACUGCAACAUUUACACUUGCCUCCAACAGGCAAGAGUUCUUCCUCCCAUCCUGGACCUUCUUCCACAGAUAUAUACCUCUCUUGCCUAGUUUCCAGCAGAUCUACAACCUCUGAGGAUGCCUGCCAUAGAUGAAGGCAAAAUAUCAGAAGAGAUUGCUUCUGGAACAAGGCCAUACAGCCUGGAAAACUCACAGCAACCUAGUGAUUCCGGGCAUGAAAGCCUUCUGACAACAAAUCAAAAUUUGGUUGAGAUAGUGCAGUUCUAGAGAGACUCUGUUUGCUUCUCAUAAAUCUCCAUCACACUAGAGUUUGGAUCCAAUUUAAAUCCACUUUAGAGUGAGGCCUUUAAACAGCUCAGCCAGACAGGUACUGGGCCUCACCAAACUAUAAACCCCAUAAUUCUGCAGAAACCAGAUUUAAAGUGGAUCCAUGCUCUGGUGUGACGAGGAAGAUAGACUUGGAAGGGGUUUUUGGUAACCAGUUAAAAUUCGUGAGUAAACCAGCUGCCCCAUCACAUUAAGAGCAUGGAUCUACUUUGAAUCCGGUUUCUGCCUCCUGAAAAAUUCUGGGGUUUGUAGUUUGAGGAGGCCCAGGAACUGUCUGGCUGAGCUGUUUAAAGCCCCCUACCUAAGGUGGAUUUAAAGUGGAUCCAAACUAGUAUGAUGAGGUCCCAGUUUUUGUUUUUUGAACCUGAAAGAUUUCGGGGGUAGUUUGAAGGCCUAAACCAACCCCUUGGCUACGGGCUUGCUUUCUCCUCCUUGUUAGAGCUCUCCCAUUGAAGUUUAGACACAACUCUUGGGUUAACUUAGUGCGUCAGCGAACACAAUGAAGGCCCCCGCCUCGCUGAAAGUUUGUUUUCAGUGUGAAGAGUUGGCGAGGCGGCGCAUUAGUCCUCAUCGUUGUUCUUCCCUUCUGCCUUGGCAUAAGGGAGUGAACAUGGGAGGCUUCUCCAAAGAAGCAGUUGGGAGUUAAAGAGAGUUCUGUCAAGGAGGAAAGAAAAGACGGAGAGGCUAAGGAGAAGCUUCUCCUCCUCAACAAGAGCUCAAGGCUGGGCCUGCCCUCCCUCCCGCCUUCCCUUGCACUCUUUCCCUCACAAAUCCCUGGAAUGAGGCCGCCGCCCAGAGGAUGGCGGAGAGGCCUCAAGCGUCGAGCCCUUUUGGCCUCGUUCCCUUUGAGUGGUGGGAUGACCAGCAGGCAAGAGGCCUCUUUCCUCUCACUCUGCGGCCCAAUAGUGACGCUCCCAAAGUUUUGACGACGAAAUGGAGAAGCGGAGGAGUGAGGAAAAGUUAAAGAGCUGGGCAUGUUUAGCCUGCAGAAGAGAAGGCUGAGAGGAGACAUGAUGAGGGCCACGUAAAAUAUGUGAAGGGAAGUCAUAGGGAGGAGGAAGCAAGCUUGUUUUCUGCUGCCCAGGAAGCUAGGAUGUGGAACAAUGCGUUCAAACUACUGGAAAGGAAAUUUCACAUGAACACGAGGAAGAACUUCCUAACUGUGAGAGCUGUUCAGCAGUGGAACUCUUUGCCCCGGAGUGUGGUGGAAGCUUCUUCUUUGGAGGUUUUUAAACAGAGGCUGGAUGGCCAUCUGUUAGGGGUGCUUUGAAUGUGAUUUUCUUGCUUUUUGGCUGGAGGUUGGACUGGAUGGCACAAGGUCUUCCAGUUUUAUGAUUCUAUUCUAGUCUUGAGCCAUGGCAGAUCAAGCAGUGUCAAACUGUGCUAGUUCAAGAGUGUAGACGCAGCCUAUGUUGCUGUCAGAUAAUUUUUUUUGUUCCAAGUAUAAUCCAUAUGUUUUUAUUAUGUAUUUCUUUGUUUUGCUUACAUAGUAAACUACUUUUAUUCAAUGUACAGUUAGCCCUCCAUAUACACAGAUUCUGUAUCCACAGAUUCAUCCAUCUUCUGCUUGAAAAUAUUUUGUUACAAAUCCAAAAAGCAAACUUUGAUUUUGCCAUUUUAUAUAUACUAUGCCAUUGUAUGUUAUGGGACUUGAGCCUUCACAGAUUUUGGUAUCUACUGGGGAUCACUGGUUGUAUAUGACUCUUGUCAUCCUCAGAGCAAUCUUGUGAGGGAUCUUGAAUUGAGGGCUCUUCCACACAGCUGUAUAAAAUCCCACAUUUUCUGCUUUGAACUGGAAUAUAUGGUAGGGUAGAUUCAGAUAUCUUAGUUCAAAGCAGAUAUUGUGGGAUUUUCCACCUUGAUAUUCUGGGUUAUAUGGCUGUGUAGAAGGGUCCUGAGAGAAAGUGCCAAAUUCAGGGUUAUCUGGUAUGAUGACACUAUAUACAUUGGUGAUGAUGAUAAUUUUAUAUCUCAAUAAUAAUAAUAUUAAUAAUAUGCAUGAAUGUAUAUAUGUAUGUAUGACCCAUCUUUCCUUAUGGCUAAAGGUGGGGCACAUCAUAGUUAAAAAUACUUCAUAAUACUAAAAUACAUUCCAUGAAAAGCAUGUAUUAAAACAUUUUUCUAUAAAAUACAAAUAUUAAAAUAUAUGAAACAAAAAUUUAAACACAAUAAAUAAAAUGCUAAUUUAAAAGUAAGGCUUAUUCAGGCAGUCUCUGAGUUACAAACAUCUGGCUUAGAAACGACUCGUAGUUAAGAACGGGGGAGAGACAACAUGAAAUGAGAGAAAUCUACUCCUAGGAAGGGAAGUUCACUCUUGAAAGAGUUAUCAUGGGGAAAGGGGUUCUCCACUGAAGCUUUAUCAUUGAUCCUUGUUUCCAUAAGCCAAAAUGUUCAAAAUCCAAUUGUCACACAGGGACUGAAAGUGAGAUGAAAUCUUAUGAACAGUUGCACAGACAUCAAAAGAAAUGUUACAGGGUUGUUGAUCCUUCCCUAUGCUAUUCAAAGCUAAAAUAUAAAUAUUUUUGGCUGGAAUCACACUUUAAACAUUUACCUGUUCUGACUUACAACCAAAUUCAACUCAAGAACAAACCUACCGAAUCUAUUUUGUUCAUAACUUGGGAACUGCCUAUAUCUUGAUCUCUCAGCACUCUUUAUCGCUUUGCCCAAUGUUUUGUAAAAGACCGUUUCAUCAUUCGGGCCAGGUGAGCCAAAUGUGGGACAGCAUUCUAUAAUGGUGAUGUCAUACCUCAAAAGACCCACUUGCUAUAUCUCUACAUGAGGAGGACACAGGUAAGUGCUUCUAAAAUUGAUUUAAGUAUACCUAGCUCUCUGUAUCUAAGGCCCUUUCUAUACUGCCAUAUAAUCCAGGUUAUCAAAGCAGAUAAUCCACAUUAUCUGCUUUGAACUGGAUUAUAUGAGUCUACACAGUCAUAUAAUCCAGUUCAAAGGAAGUAAUCUGGAUUUUAUAUGGCAGUCUAGAAGGGGCCUUAGGAUUCUGCUUUCACAGAUUACACCAUUCACGACUUGAAAAUAUUCCUGUAAUGAAAAAUUAAUAAAAGCAAAAUCUUACUUUUCCAUUUUAUAUAAGGGAUAUCAUUUUACCAUGUCACUGUAUAUCAUAAAAUCAUAAAGAGUUGGAAAAUACCAGAAAGGGACUGUCCCUGCCACAUCUGUACAGUUGGAGGGUAUGUAGUGUAAUCUUAUUUCAGCAUAGGAGAUGUGACAUUAUCCUCUAUUGAGUGUGACAGGGCUAGGGUGCAUAGCAGGCCGCAUGGUGCAUAGAGCUCCAACUCACAGCUCCAUCUGUCACCUUGUCUGCUGACCACUCUGAUUAAUGUUUUAAUGCAACAGCAAGUGGAGGAGUUUGUCAGCCUGGCCUGGCUGUCUCUCUGCUUGUGCACUCAGGGGGAAGGAGGGGUAGUUCAACAGUGCUACCUGAGAGAGCUAAGUAGCAAAGACAAGAAACAAGUGAGCAAGACAUCCAGAUCCAUUGGGGUUUGUUAUUACCAACUUUAGUCAAGUAGAUCUGAGAGCCCUCCAAGUCAGACGGUCAUUCAGGUUUUGUAGACACAAAGAUGCCAUGGCUUUCUUGAAUGGGUCUAUCCACCUGGAAUGCAGUCUUCCUUUUUUCACACUACCUGUUGCCUUCCCAAACAUUGCACACCUCAACCAAAAGAAAAUAUCAAUGUCUUGGGUUUAAGGUUAUUUGGAGCGCUGAUUCACACAAUUGCAUUGGAUAGACUGCAUCAGCUCAAGUUUCUUACGAUCUCAUCAGAUAGGCUGAUUUGCCCAUCAUAGGCUGCUUCACCUACAUUUAUGCCACUGAGCCCUUCACACGACAUAUAGGGACUUCCGACUGGGCUCCAUGCCGAAAAGGUAGGUGAAGCAGUGCCGGCUGCUGCUGUGGCAACAUGGGAGCCUUCCCUUCAAUGGGUGGAAGUUGGGCGGCAAUGCUCCCCCACAUGGCAUGCGGGAGAAGGUAUGGCGGGUGAUGCAGGAGGUGGAGCGGCAGCUUCUCCACGCCCCCUGCCGGGAGCCCAUGUAUUCCCCCUGAUGCGCCGUGAAUUCAUGGGCCUGUAUGAUAAGGUCUUUAGAUAUGGUUAUGAUUUCCUGUCUGGUGUAUGUUGUGUAUCUCAAAAACUAGAGUUGAUAGGGGAAAACCAGUGUCAUUUUUGGAAUCAUCAGGCCAAAUAUACGCAGAAACAGGUUUAACAUUCAACACCAAAAUAUGUGUUGGCCAGUGUAAAUAUCCCUCAGUUUUUUUAAUAUUCCCUCCACCAUGACAUUAUGGCCACCACUUCAAUACAGAAUGCUGUGUUUGUUUAUUUAUUUAUUUAUUUAUAGUAUUUAUAUUCUGCCCUUCUCACCCCAAGGGGACUCAGGGCGGAUCACAAUGUACACAUACAAGGCAAACAUUCAAUGCCAUAUGAACAUAGAGACAGAGACAGGCACAGAUGCGAUUUAACCUCCUCCAGCUUCCAGCUUCCUGAGGGUAUGCUCGAUUCCAGACACAGGGGGAGCAGCUGUUUCACUGUGAUGCCAACUUCCUCAUUCCAAACGCUGCUGGAUGAUUUUUAUGGUGUUGUAAAUUAGUUAAAUUAGCCUCCCCACAUAGUGGUACCUAAAUUUCCUACUUGAUAGAUGCAACUAUCUUUCGGGUUGCUUAGGUCAAUAAUGAGCAGGGCUAUUUUUUAUUUUAAUGGUUGGGUGCUCACUCUGCCAUGGGCUGGCCUCGAACUCAUGACCUCUUGGUCAUAGUGAUUUAUUGCAGCUGGCUACUAACCAGCCUGCGCCACAGCCCGACCCUUAUCAAUAUCAAUCAUUAUCAGAUCCAUAUCAAUAAACCAUUUCUUGUUGUAUAUUCUUAAAUAGUUUCUGAUUUCUAAAGCAACCUAUCUUGACAAGAUUUGUUCAGAGGAGCUUUGCCAUUGCCUUUCUCUGAGGCGGAAUAUUAUUUGCCCAAGACCACCCAAUAGGUUUGCAUGAUCAAGCAAGGAUGUGAAUCAUAAUCUCCUGGAAUCAUAUAGUCAAACGCUCACACUGGCUCUCAAAACAGUUCAAACAGUUAUAAUUACUAUCCUUUUUUGUGUGUAAAUCUUAUGCCUCUUAAUUGCUUAUUUCAUGCCAAGCCACACCUCUCAAAUAUUGGUUCUAGGAAGAUACAGCCCCCCUCCAACACCCAGCUUGGCUGUGAUUGCGGUCAAGCUUAAAAGGAAGAGGAAGCCUGAGGGAAGUGGUAGAUGAUGUCACUGUCCCAGCCCUUGCCUCAAACCCUAUGACCUUUAGCUGCAUUACACCAAUGUCUCAAGCACCUUUCUGUAGUGUGCAUGGCAGAGGAAAGGCCCGGAGUCAUAAUACUGAAACAUGCACUAUCACUGCAGAGAACAGAGCAGUGUCCUAACUCCAAUCCCAAUAUCUCUAUGAUGAAUAUAGAUGUCUGCAAACAGGUUGUUUGUUGUUAACUGUUGUCAAGUCAAUUUGGAUUAUGACAAUCCCAUGAAU